This is a non-coding RNA of Lactuca sativa (garden lettuce), 2982 nucleotides long. The record is from RefSeq and is a predicted model, not a curated record. Lineage: Eukaryota; Viridiplantae; Streptophyta; Magnoliopsida; Asterales; Asteraceae.
CUCACAACUUGGGGGGAAAUGAAAAUCACAAAAGUUUGAAAGUCCUCCAUUUUAUCCUCUACCUUGUUUCUAUCGCUGUUCUCUCUCACUAGUCAAUACCCAAAAAACCCUAAUAUCAUCACCACUCUCUUUUCUCGCACAACUAAAAUCUUCACGGGUUCUUUAAUUUCACUCCUAGGGUUAUUUGAUGGUUCUUGUUUGGUUCAUUCCCUAUACUGAAUCGAGAUUCAAAAACUUGCGUAUGUAUUCAGCUUAUCGCCUUAAGCAACUAUUAUUUCAUCCUUCAUUCACCUUAUCGUCGUUGCAUUGCUACCGCCGCCAAAUUUCCUCUUCCCUUCUCACAGUUGCUAGUUAUUCCACUACCUCAUCUGCUUCUACUCGUAACAAGAAAAAGCUAAACUGAAAAGAUAAUUCCAUUACUGGUACUAGUCGUCGAGUUCGAAUAGAUUUUGUAGUGAAGACGAGGACUCGAUCGGAUAAAAAGAUCGAUAAGGAGAGCUUUCGUCAAUUUGGUGACACCGAGAGUCAUAUUCCGGUGAUGCUCGGUGAGGUAUUGGAGGUUAUUGAUUCCCGCAAACAUCAGAUUUUUCGAUUGUACCCUUGGAGCCGCCGGUCAUUCUUCCGCCGUAUGUGAAUCUGAUUCCCCUUUUCUAUAUUUUUUAUUACAUGCUUGAUUUUAGAAUUCAUUUUGUUGUUAUUUGGUCAAGGAUCCUUUGAUAAUGUGAAGGCCUAGAAUUGGGAAAAGGGUUUUCUCGAUUGUACUAAUGUCUUUUAGCUCUGAUGUUGAUGUCUUUUGGCUCUCGAUUAUGUUACCAGUACUUCUAACCAAGGCAGAAACUAUAGUAAAUCCAACGCCUUCUCAUCUUUUUCUUUUUCUAAUAUUUUGAUUUUUUUUUUUUAAAUUUGGAUCAAAAAUCGGGUGCUUGAGCUAGCACUGAGGGUGGGAAUCAAAGCAGGAGGAGGAACUAGGAAAAUGAAUUUCUUCAUGAGGUAUUUGACUUCACACCAAAGAAAAAGAUUCUAUCAAGCACAGAUCAUGUAUCAGGGAUUGAUAAGAGGAUGUACAGGUCUCCCAACUCAAUAGUCAACAAGGCAAGGACUCAGUUUCUGAACAAACAGUGGAUGAUGUCCCAGGCUGAAGAAAAGACAAGUCCAUGUUGUCUGAUUGAUAUUGAGAAAACGAGCAGGAUUGAAGGGUGGUGUCACUUGUCUCCUUAGCUUGAGUAUAACAUGUUAUGCUCAAGCUAAGGAGACAAGUGACACCACCCUCCAAUCCUGCUCGGUUUCUCUAAUUCUUGAUUCAGAACUUGUACCAGAUAGGUUUAGGUGAACUGAAGAAGAGGUCUCAAGAGUCAAACAUGCUGUUUUCAGAGCUUCUUCAGAAAGCAAGAGAUGUUAAAGACUUAGAUAGCAACAAUGUUCAUGCAGUGUGAAACAAGUAGUGAAUAUAAUAGAAGCUGCAGCUGGAGAACUUGAAUGCCUUUCUGUUGUUGUUUCUUCCAAGUUGAAGAAAUUCUUUCUUUUUGCCAAUAUUGAUGUUGAGGGAAGUGUGUUUUUAACGAGUUGGUUGAUGUUUGGUGGUGUUUGAGAAAUAGAAGGGUAUCUCUAUUUGGGCAUGCAGCUCAAGCUUAUAUAAACUAUGGGGUGGAGUUAAAAGCUACCCUUGAACCUGCACUUUCAACAGUUCCUUUGUUGGCAUGGCAGGAAGUAACUCCUCAACUAUUUGCUCGGUUAAGCUCUCACCCUAAAGAAGAUGUUAGGAAACAGCUCGAGAGCAUUUUGGUAAUGCUGGCAAAAAAAUCUCCAUGGUCGAUAAUUAUCCAACCCUCGUUGAUAUUAACACAAGUGAAGAGGAUCCUUCGAUGGAGCUUACACGAAUAUUGGCAUGUUUAAACAAGCAAUAUCUAAGAUUAGUCCAGGAUGUUCAACUCAUGAUUAAAGAGCUAGAAACUCCACCAUGAGUUGAUGAUGACUAACCCAAUAUCCACCUCACGUAAACCUGAAACACCUCAUAAAAUAUGGUUCCACAAUGAGUACAUGGGACAAAUCAAGUCAGCCAUUUCAAACUUCAAAACUCCAUCUGCUGUCACACUAGGGGAAGUUUGGAGACCAUUGUGUGGGAGUAUGGGUGAGAUAGUGUAUAUUUGGGUGGGGCGAACAAGUGGGGAAGAUGAUGAUAACCUGUGGCAGAUUGUUGGUGAUGACUUCAUUGUUAGAAAAGGUCUGGCAACUAGCUCUAUUGUUCAGAUAGUGAAAGAAUGUGAAGAACCAAAGCAACUAUGGAAGCAUCUUCAUUGUUUCUCAUUCCAUAACACAGGAGAGAUUAUGAUACUUAUAUUUUUAAUUAGGAAACUUAGAGUGUUUUAAUUCAAUUUUUUUACUCCAUGUUUGGUUAUCUCUAUAGGGCCACGAAAUCGCCUUGACUUUGUGGUUCUUAUUCAGGUUGUUUUAAGCACGGAGGAGUUUGGUGUUUUGGGACCCGAUGAUGAUUGCUGGAGCCAAAUGGCCUGCAAAGUCCCUUCUAAUCAUGAGUUUGACUGGGAAGGAGAUUUGCCCCUAUGAUUUGCACAAAGAGAUCUGGUAAUUUAUGAAAUGCAUGAGUCCAGUAAGACAGAGUCUCCUGGUACUUACCUUGGUGUAGUGGACAAACUUGAUCAUUUAAAGAGCUUAAUUGUUGCAAUCAACAGCCCCAAUCAUCACAUACUGAGAAGGGAAAAGAAAAUGACUUCCUAUUAGCUCUUGUUAUUUUAUGCAUUCAAUAUGUUCUUGCUAUAUAUAAACAUUAAAUCUUUGUUGUUUUUUCAAGUUUUUUGCAGAUAUACAAGUGUUGCAUUCUUCAUUUCAAUUGUUAGUUGUACUACUAAUGAUGGAAGCUGCUAAUAAAAGAAAUGGAAGAAACCGCAUGAAAUAGAUUUUUUGUAUGAAACACAGAGUAGAUUAGAUGAAUGCAAAUUUAUAUAUUGUAAGAAAUAGAAUUGUAUG